AUGUGUGCUUGCCUAGAUUGUAAGGUGAUACCAAGAGAAAGUGUUGUCACUCAACAUAAGCUUGUGGUGGCUGACUUCCACUUUCGGAUUCGUGUCCAGCGGAAUAGGCGCACCAAAGACGCUAGAACGAAGUGGUGGAAGCUCAAGGGGGAGGCAGCUCAGGCUUUCAAGGGCAGGGUUAUUAAGGAGGGCCCUUGGGAGGAAGGAGGUGAUGCAGAUAAUAUGUGGAUGAAGAUGGCGACUUGCAUUCCUAAGGUGGCUUCAGAGUUUGGGGUGAACAGGGGAAGUAGAAUCAAAGCUAACGAUACUUGGUGAUGGAAAUAGAUGUCCAGAAGGCUAUUAACGGUUUCAGACGCCUACACUUGGAUAGGAGUGCAAACAACAUAGAUAAGUACAAGGUGGCAAAGAAGGCCGUAAAGCGAGUUGUGAGUGAAGCAAGGGGUUGGGCAUACGAGGACCUCUACCAGCGCUUAGACACGAAUGAAGGCCAAAGGGACAUCUAUAAGAUAGCCAAGAUCCAAGAGAGCAUCCAAGAGAGCAAGACGAGGGAUGUCAACCAAGUCAAAUGCAUGAAGGACGGAGUAGAUCAGCUCCUGGUGAAGGACGAGGAGAUCACAUAG
Molecule: ribosomal RNA, 620 nt
Filed under: Triticum aestivum (bread wheat)
Lineage: Eukaryota; Viridiplantae; Streptophyta; Magnoliopsida; Poales; Poaceae
Description: partial small subunit ribosomal RNA
Source: RNAcentral